This 225-nucleotide ribosomal RNA is filed under the name uncultured bacterium. RNAcentral's name for it is "partial 16S ribosomal RNA". It matches the Rfam family "Bacterial small subunit ribosomal RNA", at positions 122 to 334 of the family's 1533-position model. The record is from RNAcentral.
UAAUCUACCCUCCGGGUGGGGGAAUAACUCCUCGAAAGGGGAGCUAAUGCCGACAAUUCGCAGCGGUAUCGCAAGGUACCGUUGGAAAGCCGCACCGUGGGUGCGGCGCCCGAAGAUGAGCUCACGUCCUAUCAGCUUGUUGGUGAGGUAAUGGCUCACCAAGGCUCCGACGGGUAGCUGGUCUGAGAGGACGACCAGCCACACUGGCACUGCGACACGGGCCAG